Molecule: ribosomal RNA, 289 nt
Filed under: uncultured bacterium
Lineage: Bacteria
Description: partial 16S ribosomal RNA
Rfam family: Bacterial small subunit ribosomal RNA
Source: RNAcentral
GGAUUAGAUACCCUGGUAGUCCACACUGUAAACGAUGGAUACUAGGUGUAGGCACUAACGUGUCUGUGCCGGCGCAAACGCAAUAAGUAUCCCACCUGGGGAGUACGACCGCAAGGUUGAAACUCAAAAGAAUUGACGGGGGCCCGCACAAGCAGUGGAGUAUGUGGUUUAAUUCGACGCAACGCGAAGAACCUUACCAAGACUUGACAUAUACGGGAAUAUCUGGGAAAUCAGAUAGUCUUUCGGGACUCGUAUACAGGUGAUGCAUGGUUGUCGUCAGCUCGUGCCG